Molecule: long non-coding RNA, 309 nt
Filed under: Vigna radiata
Lineage: Eukaryota; Viridiplantae; Streptophyta; Magnoliopsida; Fabales; Fabaceae
Description: long non-coding RNA (VRAD_LNC002704)
Source: RNAcentral
GAUGCCUAGAACUUUGUAAAACCUUUCAAUGCUCUUGUUUGUAAAUUUUCUUCAAUGAUGAUACUGUGUGGCACCCUAAAAUGACACAUAAUGUUUUUCCAUAUGAAGUUUUGUACAUGCAAAUUUUUUAUUUUUCUCAAUAGGUUUUUCUCAAUCUAUUUAGUGAAAUAGUUAAUGAUAACAAGUAAGAAUUUGCAUUGUCCUUUGGCGAGGAAAAAAAGACUAUACAUUGAUUCCUAGAAAGGAGAAAGACUAAAGAGCGUUGAUGUUAUGUAAUUGUGUUCAUAAAGUCACUAGUGCAAAAUAGGG